GUAAACCUUUGCAGCAGCCGGUUUGACUAUCGUUGCAGUUUUUUAAACCUUCGAUAACAUUUAAUCAACUAUUCCAAGUAAUACUAUCAGACUUCAAAAGCUAUAAAAAUGAAAAUUGCCUAUGUUUUAAUAUCACUAAUCUGCGUAAAUGUUUUGGCAGAUACAAGUAUAAG
Adelges cooleyi (spruce gall adelgid) is the source of this 173-nucleotide long non-coding RNA. RefSeq lists it as uncharacterized. The record is from RefSeq and is a predicted model, not a curated record. The transcript has 3 exons. Lineage: Eukaryota; Metazoa; Arthropoda; Insecta; Hemiptera; Adelgidae.